UACGUAGGGGGCUAGCGUUGUCCGGAUUUAUUGGGCGUAAAGAGCGUGUAGGCGGCCAGAUAGGUCUGCUGUGAAAACUCGAGGCUCAACCUCGAGAUGUCGGCGGAAACCAUUUGGCUAGAGUCCGGAAGAGGAAAGUGGAAUUCCUGGUGUAGCGGUGAAAUGCGCAGAUAUCAGGAGGAACACCAAUAGCGAAGGCAGCUCGCUGGGACGGUAUUGACGCUGAGGCGCGAAAGCGUGGGGAGCAAACAGG
This 253-nucleotide ribosomal RNA is filed under the name uncultured bacterium. Its description in RNAcentral is "partial 16S ribosomal RNA". It matches the Rfam family "Bacterial small subunit ribosomal RNA", at positions 524 to 776 of the family's 1533-position model. The record is from RNAcentral.